UGAUACAACUCUGGAGAGACUACAAUUUGUAGCAUCGAAGAAGUAAUACGGUUUGUACCGUAAAAUCUUUCAGAUAAAAAGACAGAGAAAAGGGU
RNAcentral lists this non-coding RNA (95 nucleotides) under Clostridium sp. RNAcentral describes it as "Glycine sequence". It matches the Rfam family "Glycine riboswitch aptamer". From Rfam's summary of the family: This family represents the bacterial glycine riboswitch. Glycine riboswitches usually consist of two metabolite-binding aptamers domains with similar structures in tandem. The record is from RNAcentral. Lineage: Bacteria; Bacillati; Bacillota; Clostridia; Eubacteriales; Clostridiaceae. RNAcentral also lists the same sequence under 1 other name.